GGGGAUUUAGCUCAGCGGUAGAGUGCUUGCCUAGCAAGCACAAGGCCCUGGGUUCGAUCCCCAGCUCUG
RNAcentral lists this transfer RNA (69 nucleotides) under Rattus norvegicus (Norway rat). It matches the Rfam family "tRNA". Rfam says of the family: Transfer RNA (tRNA) molecules are approximately 80 nucleotides in length. The record is from Rfam by way of RNAcentral. Lineage: Eukaryota; Metazoa; Chordata; Mammalia; Rodentia; Muridae.